AUUGAACGCUGGCGGCAUGCCUUACACAUGCAAGUCGAACGGCAGCACGGGUGCUUGCACCUGGUGGCGAGUGGCGGACGGGUGAGUAAUACAUCGGCACCUGUCCUGUAGUUGGGGAUAGCCCGGCGAAAGCCGGAUUAAUACCGCAUACGAUCUACGGAUGAAAGCGGGGGACCUUCGGGCUUCGCGCUAUAGGGUUGGCCGAUGGCGGAUUAGCUAGUUGGUGGGGUAAAGGCCUACCAAGGCGACGAUCAGUAGCUGGUCUGAGAGGACGACCAGCCACACUGGGACUGAGACACGGCCCAGACUCCUACGGGAGGCAGCAGUGGGGAAUUUUGGACAAUGGGCGAAAGCCUGAUCCAGCAAUGCCGCGUGUGUGAAGAAGGCCUUCGGGUUGUAAAGCACUUUUGUCCGGAAAGAAAACCUUGGCCCUAAUACGGUCGGGGGAUGACGGUACCGGAAGAAUAAGCACCGGCUAACUACGUG
Molecule: ribosomal RNA, 486 nt
Filed under: uncultured bacterium
Lineage: Bacteria
Description: partial 16S ribosomal RNA
Rfam family: Bacterial small subunit ribosomal RNA
Source: RNAcentral